AAUUUUGAACGAGUGGCGGACGGGUGAGUAACACGUGGGUAACCUGCCCUUAAGUGGGGGAUAACAUUUGGAAACAGAUGCUAAUACCGCAUAAAUCCAAGAACCGCAUGGUUCUUGGCUGAAAGAUGGCGUAAGCUAUCGCUUUUGGAUGGACCCGCGGCGUAUUAGCUAGUUGGUGAGGUAACGGCUCACCAAGGCAAUGAUACGUAGCCGAACUGAGAGGUUGAUCGGCCACAUUGGGACUGAGACACGGCCCAAACUCCUACGGGAGGCAGCAGUAGGGAAUCUUCCACAAUGGACGCAAGUCUGAUGGAGCAACGCCGCGUGAGUGAAGAAGGCUUUCGGGUCGUAAAACUCUGUUGUUGGAGAAGAAUGGUCGGCAGAGUAACUGUUGUCGGCGUGACGGUAUCCAACCAGAAAGCCACGGCUAACUACGUGCCAGCAGCCGCGGUAAUACGUAGGUGGCAAGCGUUAUCCGGAUUUAUUGGGCGUAAAGCGAGCGCAGGCGGUUUUUUAAGUCUGAUGUGAAAGCCCUCGGCUUAACCGAGGAAGUGCAUCGGAAACUGGGAAACUUGAGUGCAGAAGAGGACAGUGGAACUCCAUGUGUAGCGGUGAAAUGCGUAGAUAUAUGGAAGAACACCAGUGGCGAAGGCGGCUGUCUGGUCUGUAACUGACGCUGAGGCUCGAAAGCAUGGGUAGCGAACAGGAUUAGAUACCCUGGUAGUCCAUGCCGUAAACGAUGAAUGCUAGGUGUUGGAGGGUUUCCGCCCUUCAGUGCCGCAGCUAACGCAUUAAGCAUUCCGCCUGGGGAGUACGACCGCAAGGUUGAAACUCAAAGGAAUUGACGGGGGCCCGCACAAGCGGUGGAGCAUGUGGUUUAAUUCGAAGCAACGCGAAGAACCUUACCAGGUCUUGACAUCUUUUGAUCACCUGAGAGAUCAGGUUUCCCCUUCGGGGGCAAAAUGACAGGUGGUGCAUGGUUGUCGUCAGCUCGUGUCGUGAGAUGUUGGGUUAAGUCCCGCAACGAGCGCAACCCUUAUGACUAGUUGCCAGCAUUUAGUUGGGCACUCUAGUAAGACUGCCGGUGACAAACCGGAGGAAGGUGGGGAUGACGUCAAAUCAUCAUGCCCCUUAUGACCUGGGCUACACACGUGCUACAAUGGAUGGUACAACGAGUUGCGAGACCGCGAGGUCAAGCUAAUCUCUUAAAGCCAUUCUCAGUUCGGACUGUAGGCUGCAACUCGCCUACACGAAGUCGGAAUCGCUAGUAAUCGCGGAUCAGCACGCCGCGGUGAAUACGUUCCCGGGCCUUGUACACACCGCCCGUCACACCAUGAGAGUUUGUAACACCCGAAGCCGGUGGCGUAACCCUUUUAGGGAGCGAGCCGUCUAAGGUGGGACAAAUGAUUAGGGUGAAGUCGUAACAAGGUAGCCGUAGGAGAACCUGCGGCUGGAUCACCUCCUUUCUAAGGAA
This 1474-nucleotide ribosomal RNA is filed under the name Lacticaseibacillus rhamnosus. Its description in RNAcentral is "bacterial SSU rRNA". It matches the Rfam family "Bacterial small subunit ribosomal RNA". The record is from RNAcentral. Lineage: Bacteria; Bacillati; Bacillota; Bacilli; Lactobacillales; Lactobacillaceae.